AGAGUUUGAUCAUGGCUCAGAUUGAACGCUGGCGGAAUGCUUUACACAUGCAAGUCGAACGGCAGCACGGGAGCUUGCUCCUGGUGGCGAGUGGCGAACGGGUGAGUAAUAUAUCGGAACGUAUCCAAUAAUGGGGGAUAACUAAGCGAAAGCUUGGCUAAUACCGCAUACGCCCUGAGGGGGAAAGCUAGGGAUCUUCGGACCUGGCGUUGAUGGAGCGGCCGAUAUCUGAUUAGCUAGUUGGUGGGGUAAAGGCCCACCAAGGCGACGAUCAGUAGCUGGUCUGAGAGGACGACCAGCCACACUGGAACUGAGACACGGUCCAGACUCCUACGGGAGGCAGCAGUGGGGAAUUUUGGACAAUGGGCGCAAGCCUGAUCCAGCCAUUCCGCGUGAGUGAAGAAGGCCUUCGGGUUGUAAAGCUCUUUCGCAAGGGAAGAAAGAUUACUCUCUAACAUAGAGUGAUUAUGACGGUACCUUGAUAAGAAGCACCGGCUAACUACGUGCCAGCAGCCGCGGUAAUACGUAGGGUGCGAGCGUUAAUCGGAAUUACUGGGCGUAAAGCRUGCGCAGGCUGUUUUGUAAGUCAGAUGUGAAAUCCCCGAGCUCAACUUGGGAACUGCGUUUGAAACUACAAGACUAGAAUAUGUCAGAGGGGGGUAGAAUUCCACGUGUAGCAGUGAAAUGCGUAGAGAUGUGGAGGAAUAUCAAUGGCGAAGGCAGCCCCCUGGGAUAAUAUUGACGCUCAUGCACGAAAGCGUGGGGAGCAAACAGGAUUAGAUACCCUGGUAGUCC
RNAcentral lists this ribosomal RNA (795 nucleotides) under uncultured bacterium. RNAcentral describes it as "bacterial SSU rRNA". It matches the Rfam family "Bacterial small subunit ribosomal RNA", at positions 8 to 796 of the family's 1533-position model. The record is from RNAcentral.